Molecule: ribosomal RNA, 253 nt
Filed under: uncultured bacterium
Lineage: Bacteria
Description: partial 16S ribosomal RNA
Rfam family: Bacterial small subunit ribosomal RNA
Source: RNAcentral
UACGUAGGGUGCGAGCGUUAAUCGGAAUUACUGGGCGUAAAGCGUGCGUAGACGGUUAUGUAAGUCAGAUGUGAAAGCCCCGGGCUCAACCUCGGGUCUGCAGUCGAUACGAGCAAACUAGAGUGUUGCAGGGGAGACUGGAAUUCCUGGUGUAGCGGUGAAAUGCGCAGAUAUCGGGAGGAACACCGGUGGCGAAGGCGGAUCUCUGGGCCUGUCCUGACGCUCAGGCGCGAAAGCUAGGGGAGCGAACAGG